AUUAGGUCCAGACGUUGCGCUGAAGUGCAACAAAGAAGUGGAAACCUGUGAGAAGACUCCCGAGCACACAGCCCCUCCAGUCCUCCCCGCCCGACUCGCCCGUGUCUUGAGAUGGCGUUCGAGCACUCCAAUGUCGCUGACGGAGAUUGAUUUGACAGCUCAUGCAGCGAGAGCACGAAGGCUGAUUCGCUGUCGCCUCCAGCAAUAGGAGCCCAGCGUGGCCCCAAGCCUCCAUGAGGAUCCACCGGGAUGGGACGAUGGCUGCCACAUAUAAAGCCUGAACAUGGCACCUCAAGUUCACCAAGAUCAAUUAGAUAAAGGAAGAAACAAAAACUAAACUGAUAGGAACAUUAUUUAGGCUCCUCUGCAUGGAGGUAUGUAUGCAUUAUUUCCAACUGUAAGUGAAAAAUGUGCCAAAAACUGUUUAAUUCUUUCCAUUUUAUUGAAUAUUUUCAAUACUGUGUGUUUUUACAAAGUACAAUAUUAUAGAGUGCUAUUUUUUUUUUCAAAUUUCAAAUGACAUUUCCAUUCAUUUCAGUCUCGAGUUGAUUUGAGAUGGUCACGGAAAAAAUUAAACUCGUAUCGCAAGGCACCAUUGUAUAUCCAAACUCUAUAAUGCACAUAAAUAUCCAUAGGCUGUAAUGUAUUUCUCUGUGCAAAGCUAUUUUUAACACUUUCCGCCCUACAUAUUUUCUGCCCUCCGUUUAGAAGUGUUUUCUCGCCAGUCACGUCUUAUGAGGCCUCGUGCUGACCCCCACCACCGCCUCCAUCUCCCCACCCCCGGCGCAGCACAGUCGCAUUAUUAAACUUGUAUAAGAUCAUUAGCAUACAAAGCAGGAAACCUACAGCAUCGCAGUCAUACAUAUUUAUCUGGACGUGCCUGGCUCGCACUUGCACUGUAACCCCUUUGCACGCAAAGCGUGUCCGGCUAGCUGUCGCAGGUGACGGCACAUUUCGGCCGCUGUGAAGUGGGUAUUACUUGAAGCGUGCCCGGUUUUAAGGGGUAGAUAUUUAUCGAGACGAUGCCGCCCUGUAAGGGAAGGUGCACAUUUGGAAACAGCAGACGGACGCUCGGGUUCAUCACUGCGCUUUGUUUCAACCACAACAAAUGUAAUUUCCACACGAGCGUCUAAUAAGCAUAUACAUAAUCAAAUACAUAUUCAUCUGCUCGCGCACAUAAUCAAACAGGGACUUGGCGAGUACACAAGUGUCACCUGUGGGUUAGCUGUGCAUGAGUGGGAGAGCAGCUCCGCUUCUGCAAAAUGCACUUUGCGCACGACCACGCCAUCAUUGUCUCCUUGCUCUCCUGGGUACCACCCCCCUCUGUUUUCCUGCUUUCCCCUUCCCCUCUUUUUCAAGCUCCCCCCUGAUUGCCAACCCCUCCAUGCUUGCGAUGUAGAAUUCUCUUGAUAGCAUGCCUUGCUUUUCCCCAGUGGCAUUUAACACACAAAAUUGGGUGGGGCUCUAAAAAAAUGCAUAGUCUUUGUCAAACUUGGCAUUUAAACAUUUUAGUAAGCUACUAGAUACUGCAAUGUAGAUCUACAAAUGUGUUUGCUUUCAUUUUCCUCUUCAUGGCCCCUUGUUGCGAGGCAGAGUCCCUGGGGCUCAUUCAUCGCUGCCCCAAAGGCCAGUGACAACGCACCAAUCAAACUAGAGGCUGAAGGUGAAAGCCAAUAGGAACAAUACUAUAAGAAAUACGUUUACCGACACAAACUGAUAGAAUCGCGAUCCGCUGGUUGCCACUGCUUCUUCCUUCCUUUCCUCCCCCCUCCCCCCACCCCCUCUUCUUCCCUCCUGUGAGAUUGCUGUUGUGUCUUAUGGCUUUUUAUUCCUACGUGAUGGUCGAUGGGUUCAUGUAGGAGCAGAAGCCACUAAACACGCGGUGACCGCUCAGCGCGACGGCCGACGUCACACUGAUUUUGUUGUUGUUGUUGAAUUUAUUCAUCGUUCUGCCUCCGAACAGGAGGUGUAAAGUUUUCAUUACAAAAGCAGGCCACAGAGAUGAGAUGCAUAGAGGUAGGUCCUCCUUCUUUUUAUGUACUUUGGGAAAACAAUGUAGAAAUGGUCAUCAACACAUCACACGUCCAAUAUUCAAGUUUAAAAAUGUAAAUUAAUUGGAUACUUUCCUGAAAACUUGCAUUUCUUACCUCUUUCAAUACUUUUUGACCAACUUGUGGAACAGUGGCAUUUAUUCCCUUAAAGCUCCCCUUGAGCUGAGUUCCCCACCAACCAAUUAAGCGUAAAAUUCAAAUGACCCCCAUUGCUGUUGGGUCCACUUUGGCGUGAUGGGAUUGGGUUUAAAUGUCAACUGUCUGUUCGUGUCGCCGGCUCGCCCCCCUGGAGCGCAAUCCGAAUAAAGCCUGAACGUGUUGUUGUUGUAAGCCAAAAGGCUGAAUUAUGAAUCCACUGGAUGUAUAUUACAACGGUUUGACACAUGCUUCCAAUUGUGGGACAUUACUUCUGCACCGACGCAAGGUUGGAUUAAUAUUCAAGAUGACAUUGCAAUAGCUGUGCUCUACUGGGGUUUAAUGAUUUAUUCACCGCUGCGAGUUGUUGUGAUCUAAUAUUCCGCAGGCGGGAUGGGAAGUUUCUUUCGCUUGCAUUAUCGGUUUAAUUUAUUUUACGUGGUGUUUCUUUUUCAUACGCGUGGGGGUCUGAGAGAAUUCCAGAGCAGAGUCGAGAUGGGUCUUUUCGAUCCUGGACCAGCAGGGGCUCUAUGGGAAUCUGAAGGUAGGAACGCAUGUCUUAGAGGAGUAGAGGAGGGAGUAUUAUUUCCAAAUAGCGCAGGAAGGAGAUUGAUUGCAGAUGCCUGCGGCUGCGUGCGCCUUAUGAUCUGAUGCUGCUUUCGACGUUGCAAAUGUCAGAAACGCGCUGAGAAAUCCGACGGCACGAACGCAUUUGCACGGACGUGCGCUGGGUCUCGAUUAGGCCUCGGCGUCCGUGGGUCCUCGAACCCCGAUCGAGUGGCGCGAGGUCACGCGACCCUCAACUUCAAUUUUUAAAGUGACCGUCAGAAAUUGAAUUUUCAUGUGACAAAUGACAUGUGAUGUGUUUGUGUACAGUAUCAAACCCUCCGCAGGCUACGCUUUGAUUUGCCUGAUAAAUAAUGCUCUUUUGUGUUCUCUGCUUCAUUUGUUCCCGUUUGUAAUGUCAGCGCUGUUCAAUAAAACAUGAACAAUGCCUAUUCAA
Molecule: long non-coding RNA, 3189 nt
Organism: Phyllopteryx taeniolatus (common seadragon)
Lineage: Eukaryota; Metazoa; Chordata; Actinopteri; Syngnathiformes; Syngnathidae
Exons: 4
Source: RefSeq, a predicted model, not a curated record